GAUGAACGCUGGCGGCGUGCCUAAUACAUGCAAGUCGAGCGAACAGACGAGGAGCUUUCUCCUCUGACGUUAGCGGCUGACGGGUGAGUAACACGUGGAUAACCUACCUAUAAGACUGGGAUAACUUCGGGAAACCGGAGCUAAUACCGGAUAAUAUAUUGAACCGCAUGGUUCAAUAGUUAAAGACGGUUUUGCUGUCACUUAUAGAUGGAUCCGCGCCGCAUUAGCUAGUUGGUAAGGUACCGGCUUACCAAGGCAACGAUGCGUAGCCGACCUGAGAGGGUGAUCAGCCACACUGGAACUGAGAAACGGUCCCGACUCCUACGGGAGGCAGCAGUGGGGAAUAUUCCGCAAUGGGCGAAAGCCUGAAGGAGCCACGCCGCGUGGGUGAAGAAGGUCUUCGGGUCGUAAAACCCUGUUGUUGGGGAAGAAAAAAAGUGGAAGUAAAUAUGGCCGUCUUGACGGUACCCAAACAAAAAGCCCCGGCUAACUUCGUG
Molecule: ribosomal RNA, 497 nt
Filed under: uncultured bacterium
Lineage: Bacteria
Description: partial 16S ribosomal RNA
Rfam family: Bacterial small subunit ribosomal RNA
Source: RNAcentral